CUCAGACAAUCACAAGCUGCGAAAUAGUGUCAGCAUGGAUAUCGUGCCAGGUUCGUAUGUUGACGAUUUUGGAUUCUUCUUUGCCGACGAAAUCAAUCCGUUAAAGAUCAAUAAAUGGUUAACGUACGCUACCUGCGGCUACAUCAUAGUCUCUCUAGUCAGCAUUGGACUGUUUCUCAAACGAAAUUUCUGGUUUCCAUGGAUUGAGAUGAUUCGUUGCCUGACUUUCCUUGGCUAUCAACUUCAGUUCAGAAUAUUUAUCGCGGAAUCAGGAGGAAACAGUGUCCUUAUGAACAGCAUCCGACUUCUUCACUUGUACUCGGCUGUGAAGUGUCAAGUUAAGUGUGUUGGUCAGGUGAGAGAUGCAAUACAAAAAGACAAAAUUAAGUGAAUACCUACAUCAAAAACUGUCGUGCGUGCCAUCUUGAAUACAUUUCCCGAAAGACAAUACAAGAGCUGCUUCCAAAAUUAUUCCUUUGGAAAUGCAAAAAAUUAAUGGCCCCGAAUAAUUCGCAGUCGAACGAUGUUCCAUUGAAUUUUUACUUUUCUUGCCACAGCAUGUAACAAAGGUUCUUUUUUAUGUUUAAAUUCAUUUGAAGUCUGCUCAUGUGUAUGGCAUUAUGUCCCCUAAAUAAAUUAACCUGUUUAGUAAUAUUUUAGGGCAUAGGCUGUAUACUUCCUUCUACAGUAUCAACAUCCUUCAGGGAAAUAAAUAGCUCAACCAUAAACUAGAAUUGUAUUUUAGGAUAUACAUUAAGGCUACACAUCCUUCCAGAAUUUUGAUAUCCUUGCACCACACUCAGGCAUAU
Molecule: long non-coding RNA, 809 nt
Organism: Daphnia pulicaria
Lineage: Eukaryota; Metazoa; Arthropoda; Branchiopoda; Diplostraca; Daphniidae
Exons: 2
Source: RefSeq, a predicted model, not a curated record